CAGUUCGGAUCGCAGGCUGCAACCCGCCUGCGUGAAGUUGGAAUCGCUAGUAAUCGCGGAUCAGCAUGCCGCGGUGAAUACGUUCCCGGGCCUUGUACACACCGCCCGUCACACCAUGAGAGUCGGGAACACCCGAAGUCCGUAGCCUAACCGCAAGGGGGGCGCGGCCGAAGGUGGGUUCGAUAAUUGGGGUGAAGUCGUAACAAGGUAUC
Molecule: ribosomal RNA, 212 nt
Filed under: uncultured bacterium
Lineage: Bacteria
Description: partial 16S ribosomal RNA
Rfam family: Bacterial small subunit ribosomal RNA
Source: RNAcentral